UUUUGGCCAAUGAGUUGUUUUUUUGGCAAACCUGCUGAAUUUAGCCAGGAACUGCCCGUCACCUAGCAACCCCAGCCAAACCAGCCCGUCACCUAGCAACCAAAUCUGAGUUCCAGAAACUUCGGUCAGCUGGUUUCACCGCUGUCUGCGCUGUACAAUAACUGCUGGAAAGGACAAGUGUUUGUUGUUGGCUUACCAGUCAGAAACCAUUUGCGCAUCUGUUUGAGUGUAAGACUGGAGUUAGGGGGCGUGGCCGAAACGAAACAACUCAUUCUGGAAGAGAGUAGAAAGAGCUUGCUAAAGUGUUCUGCUUGACGAUUUUGGUGACUUCUUAUUCUUCCUCAGACAAUGUCCUCAUCUUAAAAUGAAGAUAUAUCGUGGGUACAUUUGUUUUGUCUCCAUAAAGGGACUCUACCUGCUUGUCCACACACACAGACAGGGGGCGCUGUGGGAACCAGGAAUACACAAGGGACGUCUUGAGUGUUUUCCAGCACCCUGGGGACAUCCAAAAGUCUAGGGCGUGUGUGUGGUAGACUGUGUGUGUUUUGUUUUUAUUUUGAGUGUUUAAUGUAUUAAAAGGGGCCGGGGUAAUGAAUUAUAAUCUUUAAUGCAAAAACCAAUCGAUACCACCCAGAGAAUAAAUCAGCUUUUACUGAGCGCGUCAAAGCCCCUUAAUACACUAGAGGAGAGAAAGGGAGUGCAUGGUGGGUGAGGUAAGAGGGGGAGUUAGGAGCUGGGACAAACUAUUAAUGGAGGAGGAGGAGGGAUCCUGAAUGAACCAGAGAGAGAGAUGAAGGCCACCAGGGUGAAACAAAGGCGAGGGGGAGUACGAGGUAAAUAGAAGGAGAAGAAGAAAUAGAUGGAUGGAAGUUAUAGAGGAGCAGCCUCACCUCUGGGUUAACCUCAUUGAGUAAAAGCCCGGUGGAAGCACAUAGACUCUGACAGGUUUGCGAGGAGGAGAGGUCGCAGGGUCACUCACUCAGAGUGUUACCCCCUGGCUCCUAAUUUAAAGUCACAAGAAGCAGUGGAGAAAAUUGAUGAUGAACAACACACAUAAAUCACGGUUUGAAAAUAACCAGCACAAAAACAGAGAGGGAUCAACAAACCGCUGCUGCAAGUAAAGGAAGGUAGG
This is a long non-coding RNA of Xiphophorus couchianus (Monterrey platyfish), 1132 nucleotides long. RefSeq lists it as uncharacterized. The transcript is spliced from 3 exons. The record is from RefSeq and is a predicted model, not a curated record. NCBI's taxonomy places the organism in Eukaryota, Metazoa, Chordata, Actinopteri, Cyprinodontiformes, Poeciliidae.